This is a long non-coding RNA of Apodemus sylvaticus (European woodmouse), 4536 nucleotides long. RefSeq lists it as uncharacterized. The transcript is spliced from 4 exons. The record is from RefSeq and is a predicted model, not a curated record. Lineage: Eukaryota; Metazoa; Chordata; Mammalia; Rodentia; Muridae.
AUAAAAAGAAGCGUAAAAGAAAAAAUUAAAAAGCCAAUUGGAUCUAACUGAAAAAAAGUGGUAAGCUGCAGAGUAGACUUCAAUCGACAAACCAUGACAGACCAUAUGGAAUUACAGAGGGGAGAAAGAGCUGGAGGAUGAGGAGGGGAGCUGAGGAGAGAUGUGGUGACCCGCUGUCUCUGGAAUUGACAAAAUUGUUGUGAUCUCACAACACCAGACCACAUUCAGGCCUCUGAACCCCAGAACAGAUGAUGGAGCGGUCCGCGGUUCCACCUCUUAAGGUAGGGUCUCCGAGGCUCCACCCCCUUAAGGCAGGAUCUCCGAGAGUCCACCCCCUUAAGGGAGGACCUCCGAGACUCCACCUCUUAAGGGAGGACCUCCGAGGCUCCACCCCUAGCUUGUGCACUUGGCCUCCCUGAUGUGGGCAAGAUUGAUCUUGUUAGCGGUUGCAUGAGAAAAUGCAAGAUUCAAUGCUUAUGAUAUCUGCUGGCUCUGCAAAAUUUCGUUAUCAAAUGGUCACAGGUUUAGUUCCUAUGAUGCUCUCUGGUAUAAAAGCGGUUAUCUUUACAGGUUAGAUGUCCCGAGAAACGGGAGGAACUGACCAGUACAAACUUUCAAAUCUUGAAAACGAAGCCAUGCCAUUAGUACAUCCGACGCGGGAUGGCAAGAUGGCUCAACCAGGCUCCACACACACUUGGCAAUACCCGGGGGGUAAAAACUGUGCAAUCCCCCAUUGCACGAGGGACCCAGCUGUAUGUGGAAGGAUAGACACACCUAGACAUAAAGGGAUGGGAGAAAGUAGGCCACGUAAUUAACCACUUUUUGCAGGAUCGGUGUGCUAAUAUCAGGCAAAAAUAGGCUGCAAUACAAAAAAAAAAAAAAAAUAGGAGUCAUUAGCAGGGACCGUCGGUGUGGUAUGAUUUAUGGGUCAAUUUCCAAGGAAGACACAAUUCCAAUCUGUAUUCGCCUAAUAGAAUUGUCUCAAAAUAUGUAAAGCAUUGUCUGAUAGAGUUAUGGGAGAGACUGAUGAGCCCCCCCCCCAUCCCGCUGGGAGGUUUUGCAUUCCAUCUCUCAAUAAUGGAUAAAGCAAGCAGAGUUUCUUUCUAACGAUGUAGGAGAAUUCAACAGCCUCGCUGCCAGGUACGAUGGGAACCUGUAACCUGCAAAUUAGGCGUGGGGGGUGCUGACUGUUCAGGCCGGCAGACAGCAUUUACAAAUGUGAGUCCCCUGGUCUAGGAAGCCCCCAAGAUGCCCGUUACCAAAAUCAAAUGUUGGAGCGUGACACCCGGGGCCAUCUGCUGGGCAUGCCUGGAGGUUGACUUUUCUCAUUAGAUUUUGGUCACCUUGACGCAACCUAGAACCAUCUGGAAAUCCCAGCUGAGAAAACGCUUCCAUCAGAUUGGCAUGUGGUGAAGUGGGGCGAGGUGCACGCUGGGAAUGUGCGGUGGUUGCCAUGGCAACCCUUGUCACCUAGGGGGUGACAUCGUUGCUCGAUUCAGAGAUGGCCAUAAAGCCAGUUUCUGAUGCCCACAAUUUAUCAUCAUCAUCAUCAUCAUCACCAUCAUCAUCAUCAUCACCAUCAUCAAUUGGCGUGGAAAGGUGGGCUGCACCACUACUGUGAAGGUUGCCCUAGGAUGUAUAAGAACGAGGCUAACCAAGCCAUGGGAGCAAGCCACUGAGCAGUGUUCCUUCAGAGCCAUUGCCCUGUUCCGGCCCCCAGGUCCCCACUCUGGCUUCUUCCCUCGGUGAUGCCCUGUGAACUGUAAGAUGAAUCGAACCCUUUCCUUCCCAGGUUGCUGUUGGUCCCCAUGCUCAUUGCAGCAGCAGAGGGCAAACCAGGACACGGACCUAAUCUAACCAGCCCCUCCUACGUGUAUGCAGAGGCCUGACCUGUAGACAGUUCCAGUUCCCAUCACAUGGUGACGCUGGCCGUCAUGGCUGGGCAUGACAGGGAAGCUCCCCUCUGCCAGGGUGUUCCAAGUCUGGAACAAGCGUCUCCUUAACUCAGAGAGAGUGAGGCUGGGUCUGAAGACGCUCACAUUGCUGAGUUAGCCUGGAGACAUUUGGAGGUCUACGGACAGCGGAGGUGACGUCUACAGGGUGGUGUGACAGCAACUGACAUGGGCCCAGAACACACGAACUGGGUGUGGGACUCAGGAAUUGCUUGGACCCUUUAGAUCUCACUAAGGCUUCCCCAAGACAGUGGCAAUAUUAUUCUCUUCAGACCGGAGACUUUGUUCCUAAAAUGCUCAGCAGACUAUUGAUGGUAGCAUCUAGCCUUGCUCAACUCUGCAAGUGACCAGGUCCAGGGGACAAGGCCUCUCUACUCACAAAUGAAAUCUCUCACUGAACCUGGAGCUCCCAGACUGUGUAGACUGACCAGCUAACGACCUCACCACCCUUGCCUCCACAGCACCGAAUCACAGAUGUGCAUGAUCACACCUGUCCUUUUUACAUGGAUUCUGGGAACUUAAUUCCAGGUCCUAUAUUUAUGCUGCAAACAUUUUCCCAGCUCUGCCAGCGCCCCUACAGACCCCAGUGUCACUUAUUGUAAUGAGGGAUGUGAGCCGAUGGUGAGUGCUGAUUCAGCUCUUCUGGGUUACGUGGACCGUGGACCGCUGUGCAGGGCACAUGGGGCAGAAGUCCUGACCCAUUUGGGGUUUUCCAAAAUGGCAGGAGAGUUGCGUAGGAGGGACAGCAAUGACAAAUGUAGAGCUUCAUCUACACACAGGCAAAGAUAUCUGUUCCUCCAAGAUACCUGGUUGUCUCUGAGCAAGUAUCCACAGGGUACAAGGCCGCACGGGCAAACUUACCUACCUUCAGCCUCGGCUAUGCUAUGGGGCUGUUCCCUGGCUGCUCACCAGAGACCCAGGAAUGGAGUUCUUACCCUGUGGGGUACUGGGAUCAGGGAUAAGAUUCCUUUUAGUUGUAUAGACUUGAACUUGAGCUACAGAUCCUCACAGCCCAUUACACGUCCCAGAACUCACCGUAUCCAGCCAACAGCCAUCUAUCGGAUGGCCACUGAGAGGUUCCAGGACUCAAGAAAACCACAAGCGUGUGAGCCCCCUCCCUCCACCGUGUCAGAGCCUCCCUCUGUGUUCUACACUCCCGCUGGAUACAUCAGUAUACGCUCCACCCUGGGACCAGGUCACCCUUUGGCCACCGUGAGGGCACAAAUGAGACUCGGUCAUUCCAGCAUCCCGAGCAGGCCGUAGAAGAAGGUUUGCUGUUGAUGAAUCAAUACCAGUGAGUGACUCUCUUUCCACGGCAGGAAUUCCGGGGAUACAAACGCAUCUCAGAUUAAAGAACACGUGUAAGAGAAUGAAGUAGCUUAUCACAAGCAUUUACCGUCUUCAGCGCAGACAGGAUGACAGGAGAGACCAGGCAGGGGUCAUGGGGGGCGCGUCUCACCAUCAAAAGUCGUAUCGACUGGAGUCCAUUAUGACAACCUCUGAGUGAAAAGGUGGGCAGGCUCCGAAGCAUUAGUGAGCUUCCCAAAUACAAGGAAAUUGAUCCGUGACAAAUUAAUCCUGGCAGCUUUCAUUUUCGAUUUCCUUUCUGAUUAUACGGGAUCAUUAAAAUGAACCCAAAUAGAAAGGAAUAAGAUGGGACAGCAAGAGAGGUACGGGUGCCGAGUAUCGAUUCCUUUCAAACAUAGUUGAAGAGUAGAUUUAAUUUAACUAAAUGGUGUUAGCCAUACUGAUGUCGUAAUCAUACUACUUCUGGGGACCCUGCCGCUCAGGGCUCCUUGGCAGAUCCUGGCCUGGGACUGAGGUCUCUCUUCUCACAGAGAGAUGGGGACUAAGGUAUGGCACUCACAGUGGACCCUGCGGAGGGCAUCUCAGCCAGUGAGAGCAGCCGCUAGGUGGGCUGCUAAGAAGCACCUUUUGGGGUUCUCCAACAUGAGGGGGACCUGGGUGAGAGGAUAGGGAAGUGUACUGGCUGGGUCUAUGUGUGUCAACUUGACAGAGACUGGAGUUACCACAGAGAAAGGAGUUUCAGGUGAGGAAAUGCCUCCAUGAGAUCCAGCUGUGGACAUUUUCUCAAUCAGUGAUCAAGGGGGGAGGGCCCCUUGUGGAUGGUGCCAUCCCUGGGCUGGUGGUCUUGGGUUCUAUAGGAAAGCAAGCUGAGUAAGCCAAGGGAAGCAAGCCAGUAAGAAACAUCCCUCCAUGGCCUCUGCAUCAGCUCCUGCUUCCUGACCUGCUUGAGUUCCAGUCCUGACUUCCUUUGGUAAUGAACAGCAGCAUGGAAGUGUUAGCUCAAUAAACCCUUUCCUCCCCAACUUGCUUCUUGGUCAUGAUGUUUGUGCAGGAAUAGAAACCCUGACUAAGACAGGAAGGCUGUGCUCUGACUGUGUCCCCACCAAGUUCAUGCAUUGGACAUGGACACCCCCACCCCAAAGCAUCUGUGUUAAGAGGCGGGGCCUUUAAGUGAAGCCUGGCUCACACUUGUUCAGUCCCCCACAAGAUUGGGUGAACAUGCUCUAUGACAGUUUAGAUAGGAAAUGUCGCCCACAGGCUCAUGGGUUUGAGCAUC